This is an RNA transcript of Zea mays, 5584 nucleotides long. It is a transcript of the gene named glutathione S-transferase GSTU6, with no coding region annotated. The transcript has 9 exons. NCBI's taxonomy places the organism in Eukaryota, Viridiplantae, Streptophyta, Magnoliopsida, Poales, Poaceae. The record is from RefSeq and is marked provisional.
CACUGCUGCUAGUCAAACAAGGCACCGGUUGGUCAUGCUCAUCACCUCAGACGGUCAGACCGCGGCACGCAUACAAAUGGAUCCCAGGUCCCAACAGACAGCGGCACAUGAUAGAACAAAGCAAACAUCUGCAAACUGUAAUGGCGGCUCCAGUAGGUGCCAAUGCCAUAGGAGCGGGCGACGAGCUGCUCCUGCUGGGCACAUGGUCGAGCCCAUGGGUGAUCCGAGCGAGGGUGGCGAUGGGGCUCAAGGGCCUGAGCUACGAGUACCUCGAGGAGGACCUCGGCAACAAGAGCGGCCUCCUGCUCCGGUCCAACCCGGUGCACAAGAAGGUGCCCGUCCUCAUCCACGGCGGCCGCCCAUUGUGCGAGUCGCUCGUGAUCCUGCAGUACCUCGACGAGGCAUGGCCGACGGCCGGUCCUCCGCUCCUCCCGGCCGACCCCUACGACCGCGCCACGGCACGGUUCUGGGCGGCCUACAUCAACGACACGUUUUUCCCGGCGUUCAGGGCGCUGUUCAGAUCGCUGACGGACGAGCAGAGAGCGGAGGCGCUGCGGAACGCCCUGCCUGCGGUGGAGACGUUGGAGCGAACGCUCGCGGAGUGCUCCGCGGGGAAGGCGUUCUUCGGCGGCGACGCCGUCGGGAUCGUGGACGUCGCGCUCGGGAGCCACCUGGUCUGGAUCCGAGUGGUGGAUGAGGUUGGAGGCACCAGCCUUCUGGACGCGGCCAAGGUCCCCGGCCUGGCGGCGUGGGCGGAGCGGUUCUUGGCCGUGGACGCCGUGAAGAAGGUGAUGCCGGACGCAACGAAGGUCCUGGAGCAGUACAAGGGGUUUCGGGCUAAAUGGAUUGCGGGCGCCGGUUGUACCUGAAACGUACGGUACCAAGCCUAUGAGCUGAUCCAUGCCAGAUAGGCCAUGCUUGGUGCCACUGGCGCUGUCAUCCUAGAGGCCUGCAACAAGUUCGGCGCUAACCGUGACCCUUAGGCUGUUUCGUUCAAGGUCGCGGCUUCCGUAUUCGAUGGCCCCAGCUUCGGUGCCCGGGCUCCGGUGCCCGUGAUGCUCCUAGGUCGAUUUGACGAGGUUCAUGGGUUAUACGCGCCUCACACAAGCAUGCGCUGAAUUUCUCGCUUUGGGUGUGUAUGGUUUUCCCAGGCUGAGCUAGAGAAGGUGGAUAAAACUAAUUUUUUUGGAAGAUACUUGAAUGAAUAAAUAAGGCGCCAGUUCAGAUUAAAAAUUCCCUGGUAUGUUCAACAUGAACUCUUUUUUGGAGGGCUUUUUUCUAUUUAUAUUAGAGAUCUUUGUCGAAACUGAUAUUGAAAGUUGCCAUUGCGAGCUCUUGGUCUCACAGAAUACAGAUACUAGGCUAGCCGGGCCAAAAGAUGCUCCUGAUCUUGCUAGACUCAUACAAGUAAUGUCUGCUUCUUGUUGCUAUUAUUCUAGGUUUUUUCACCAUUCCUCCUAUUCUUUAAAUUUAUAAAUUUAUAGUUUGUAAAAUGUGCAAAGGUCCUUUAAACUAUGUAAUUACAUCUUGUGAUGAGAUGGUGAAUCUGAAGCUAUGCCUUUAACCUUGAACGAAUGGGCGCACAAGAGGGUAAUCGUAUAUUGAGGUUUAAAUGCAAGUAUAUAAUAAUAAUGCAUUUCCCAAAUCAUUAAUUCUGCAAGUGAUGAGUUUUUUCUUUCUAUUCCCAAUUUUCUCUGUGAUGUGCAGUUUGGACAUUUGAAUGCACAUCAGUAACUGUGGUUGCAUUAAUGGUCCAAUGGAGAGCAAUGAUGUGAAUAACAAGCUGUCAUUUUUGCCCUCUUGUUCAAAGCUUGAAAUGGAAUUGUGCACUUAUUCGAGCAUUAAUCUUGUAAUACAGAAACUAUGCACUCAUUUGAGCAUUCUGGAUAUAACUUACUACAUGUCAAAACAUUGACGCCUAAGUUGGUUGCUGUAAGAACUAAGAAACGAAACAUUAGUUGAUGAACUAAAAGAAGCUUUAGCUGAUUGCGAACAGAAGCCAAAAAAUAUUCUUGGGGAGCAAGGUGUCAUAGAAGUAAGGUGAUUCUAUCCUAUGUCUGUGAAUAACUAAAGGUUUGCUCCGAAAAUUUCUCUGGUAUUCAACCCUUGAAUAAUAGGUCGCUCGACACCUGGAUGCAAUUACAGUUGUCACUGGGAUAGUAGGGUGUGCAGGGAUGAAGGUAACACCCCUUCUAUUUAUCACAUUUCUCUUCGUGCUUUUCUUAUGUUGGGUGUUCCGAGAACCUAAUGUUGAUAUUUAUAAAAUGUUUGUGUAUAAAUGAUAUUUAUGUGCUUGCAAUGGUGUGUCUGUCGGUUUGAGGCAUGGUUUGCUGCAGAUGCAGAUGAAAUAUCUCUGAAGAAUUGGGAUCACAUUCGUGCUAUGCACUGGUGCAAAGUGAAAGCCAUGAUCUAAAUAAUGCUGUAGAUAGAAUUAUUUUCAUGUUAUCAAGUAAUUAUAUGCACUGCCAGUAUGAAGUCUUGGUCCACUAUCUAUUUCCAUGUGGUCAAUAUUCACCAUAAUGCCAAAACAUCAGGAGGCAUUUCAUAUCCUUAGUUGAAACAAAAUUAUGCAGUUUAAUUCCUUCCUUCAUGAGCUAAUGCUCUUCACUCACUAGAAAUUAUCUAUAUGAACUUUACAUGCAGGGUGAUACAACAGUAACAGAGACCAAACUCGAACUCCAUAGCAGAGUAAAUGAUCUUGAUCUGCAGCUAAGGAGAAAGGGGAAUGCCAUAGGUACUUAUACAAUUGGGUCUGGAGGCUCGUCGGCAACCGGACAGGAAAACAGCAAGGCAGAAGGGCAUUGCUCGGUCGCUGGUCCGAUGAGUGGCACUGUCAGGGAGCGUGACAGGGGCGACAAAUCUAGACCUCCACUUGUUUGAAGCCCCUCUUGACGAAAAAGAAAUAUCGCUACGAUAUAGCUCUGCUCUUGGAUAAGGUGCUAUAAAUGUAUAGCUCUGCUCUUGUUCAAGGUGCACCAAAUCCACGUAUGCAUCAGAAAAUUGAACCAACUCGGAUGAACUUGAUCCCAUCAUCUACCUGAAUGUCGUUUGGGAUCAUGUGUGGCCUCCAGAUUAGGUGCGACCCGGCCAUUGGCUAAUAUGCGCUACCGUUCCGCGUCGGGACCUCUAUCACCCUCGAUGGAGAGCCCGCCCAACCAUGUCGUCCCUGACGACACAGCAAAUGCCACCGGUGUAGCCUCCCUCGUCGGGCGCCGCCACCUGAUUUGUUUCUUCCUCUAUCGUCGUGCCAUAUCCUCCGGUGGCGAUGAGCUACACUUGCUGCUUAUGAGGUGCCAGACCAGGUAGAGAGCUAGAGACGAUUGGGCACUUGGAUUGUUUUGGUUAACUGUUGCAGCGGUACAGAUCAAGAGUUGAUUCCAGUGUUCGGUGCGCUGGUGAUGCACCUCUGCACCGGCUUUGGCCCCGAGGCGCUACCGGUUGGGAUACGGUGGACCAUGGACGAGAGGGAUCCGGGGUGCUUGUAUGGAGAUCUGGCUGAACUGCCGUGCUGGGGAUUCUUCAGUCUCAUUGUACAUCCACUGCUAGGCGAGGCACGAUGUCGACGUGCUGGCGUGCUGCUACGGAAGGUGUUAGAUAUAUGCAACAAUCUGAUAUUCCAUACUACCUUAACCAUGUGGAGGUAAGGAUAGAUUUUCUAUAAGCAAUUGCUAGAAUGCCAUACAUCUACAAUUAUUGAGAAGAUGACCAUUUACAUUUACAAUAUAUACUUCUUUUAUGCAGCUUCUCGAAGCAUGUGAGUUUCUAUGUUUAUUGUUGAGCAUGAUCUCUUUGUUUUAUAUCAAUGCUAGGUUCCUGGUAACAAAUAGAUCUCUAAACUUCUUAUUUUUUUUACACAGAUUUUCUUAUUUUCUUCAUAUCUAACCGGGAGAGCUUGCUAUCCUGCACUUGAACUGCUUCUGCAUUUUUAUAAAAUUUAUUUUAGUGAUUCAUUGCAUCAAGAAAACUAUUACUUGUGGACAGCCUGGGGACAUAUGAGUCCUUUUAAGUAGAUGUUGUUAUCUGCUCAUACCAUGCAAUACUUUUCCUCAACAAGUGGUGUUGUUUUAAAUACUAGAGUAGAACUACAUCCAUGAAAACUAUCACUGCUCAUAUCCACGACAAAGCACCAGUGAACGUGUGUGCGACAAGGAGGGACCGCCUGCUGUUCUGAGUCCAACCAACUAGACCUACAACUGAAAGGUAUGCUAUAUAUAUAAUAUGGUGCUAUUUUGACGUGAUCCAGAUUGUUAUUGUAGGCCACACACAAAACAGGGACCGAUAAAAUAAAACCAUAAUUACUUCUGAUUCUGAAUUGAAAGCAUUACAUAGCUUCGAAGGUAUAUACUUCCCUUUCGAUUCUUUGGGCAGUUCAACCACAUUAGCUACUCCAUCCUUAGAUUCUAGAACUGCUCAUCAUUCUCUUCAUCCAGGUCAACACCUUUAUCAUCUCUAAUUGUUUUAGCGUCUUGAUGUCAUUGUACUUGUGGACAGGGGCUAGCUUUCUUUGUGUCAUUGUACUUGUGUACAGGGGCUAACUCAUGUAAUUUCAGACUCUCUGGUAUUCUCUAUUACAACAUUCUCAGGCUAGAGCACGGUGUUGUUACCUAAUCCUUUGUUUUAUUUUUUUUACCUUCAAGCUCUGGAAUUACAUUCUCCUUAAGCAAAAAAGGAAUGCCACUGUAAUUCUAGAAACAUUAGCACAUAAUCCUAUCUUUUAAAGGGUUAUACCUGGUUCUUCGUGUGCAAUCUUACCAAUUUUUGCAUGCAAUUGAUCAUUUGUUUCUUAUGCGGUUAUAUCCUCUUUUUCUUCAAAUAGCCUGUACGUUUGCUGCCAACUUAGUCUCUUUGUCUCCAUUGUAGAUCAUGGCCAAGGUAGCCACAUUUGGAUUUGGAGGACCAACUAAGGUACUCCUGGUGGCAAUGCCUUGAAGUUUUAUGCUUCUGCUCGCUUGAACAUCAAGCGUAUUGGUCUGGUAAAGAAAGGCGUGCAUGUAAUUAACUAAAUCAUAUGUUUGGCAUUUAUCUGAUUAGUUUAGUCUUGUACUUUAAUGUGUGACAUUCAGUACAUUCAUAACGUAACUUUGAUUUAACAGAGAUAUACAUGUCUACAUGAGACCUAUUUAACGGAGCCAGUACUAGACACAUGUAAUAGGCAUCUACAUGUGUUGUCACUCGACAAUUGUAAAUGAUUAGUGAAUUUAAAAUAACUGACUCUACAUAUGCCAUAUUGGUGGGGUGAGCGCUUGUGCAGACCAAAUGAUCACUUUUCAAAGGUAGCAGCGGCAGCAUGCGUAUGCCAUCUGCAUGAAAACUCUUAUUGAGUUGUUCGACAGUAUGCCGCACCGGAAUGUCUUGUCGUGGACGAUGGUGUUCGUGGGAUACACACAAGUAUAAUUAUAAUUAAGGUCUUGUUUGGGAGCAAGAGUAUUGGAGGGGCUUGAGAGGACUGCAAUCCCUUACUUCCUCUUCAUAGUUAUUUUUAUGAAACACCUUAGGUUUUGACCAGACGACAAUGAAGAUAACAUAUCUUGAUCCAAAUGCACUGAUGAAAGCAAUAAACACGCGACUCUACUCUAAAAUGACA